RNAcentral lists this ribosomal RNA (563 nucleotides) under uncultured bacterium. Its description in RNAcentral is "bacterial SSU rRNA". It matches the Rfam family "Bacterial small subunit ribosomal RNA", at positions 338 to 915 of the family's 1533-position model. The record is from RNAcentral.
CCUACGGGAGGCAGCAGUGGGGAAUCUUCCGCAAUGGGCGAAAGCCUGACGGAGCAACGCCGCGUGAGGGAUGAAGGCCUCUGGGCUGUAAACCUCUUUUAUCAAGGAAGAAGAUCUGACGGUACUUGAUGAAUAAGCCACGGCUAAUUCCGUGCCAGCAGCCGCGGUAAUACGGGAGUGGCAAGCGUUAUCCGGAAUUAUUGGGCGUAAAGCGUCCGCAGGCGGCCCUUCAAGUCUGCUGUUAAAAAGUGGAGCUUAACUCCAUCAUGGCAGUGGAAACUGUUGGGCUUGGGUGUGGUAGGGGCAGAGGGAAUUCCCGGUGUAGCGGUGAAAUGCGUAGAUAUCGGGAAGAACACCAGUGGCGAAGGCGCUCUGCUGGGCCAUCACUGACGCUCAUGGACGAAAGCCAGGGGAGCGAAAGGGAUUAGAUACCCCUGUAGUCCUGGCCGUAAACGAUGAACACUAGGUGUCGGGGGAAUCGACCCCCUCGGUGUCGUAGCCAACGCGUUAAGUGUUCCGCCUGGGGAGUACGCACGCAAGUGUGAAACUCAAAGGAAUUGACG